AAACUGCCUCCUAAGUUUUGCAACUGUAGCAGUUUUGACCCUCAAGGCAAGAAAAAUAUAAAAAAUAAUACGUGACACCUCACUUAGGGUGUCACGUCAGCGUAGACCAAGUCAAAAUUGAUCUUGGAGGCCAAAAAUGCCACAGGUGCAAAACUUAGGGGGCGGUUU
RNAcentral lists this microRNA precursor (168 nucleotides) under Medicago truncatula (barrel medic). RNAcentral describes it as "MIR2619 microRNA precursor family". It matches the Rfam family "MIR2619 microRNA precursor family". The record is from Rfam by way of RNAcentral. Lineage: Eukaryota; Viridiplantae; Streptophyta; Magnoliopsida; Fabales; Fabaceae.